ACGCUCGACACCUACGGGAGGCAGCAGUUGGGAAUAUUGGACAAUGGAGGAAACUCUGAUCCAGUGACGCCGCGUGAAGGAAGAAGGUCUUCGGAUUGUAAACUUAUUUUGUCAGGGAAGAAAAAUGACUGUACCUGAAGAAAAAGCACCGGCUAACUACGUGCCAACAGCCGCGAUAAUCUGAGCGGGCUGGCAAGGC
Molecule: ribosomal RNA, 199 nt
Filed under: uncultured bacterium
Lineage: Bacteria
Description: partial 16S ribosomal RNA
Rfam family: Bacterial small subunit ribosomal RNA
Source: RNAcentral